GGGGAUUUAGCUCAGCGGCAUGAGCACCUGCCUUGCAAGCAGACAAUCGUGAGUCGAUCCCCG
Molecule: transfer RNA, 63 nt
Filed under: Cavia porcellus (domestic guinea pig)
Lineage: Eukaryota; Metazoa; Chordata; Mammalia; Rodentia; Caviidae
Rfam family: tRNA
About the family: Transfer RNA (tRNA) molecules are approximately 80 nucleotides in length. Their secondary structure includes four short double-helical elements and three loops (D, anti-codon, and T loops).
Source: Rfam by way of RNAcentral